AUCCAGUUGAUGAGUCUGAAAUAGAAGGAAACGAGCUUCUUGGAU
RNAcentral lists this non-coding RNA (45 nucleotides) under Schistosoma haematobium. The record is from RNAcentral. Lineage: Eukaryota; Metazoa; Platyhelminthes; Trematoda; Strigeidida; Schistosomatidae.